ACACGACUACAUUAGAUACCCGCGUAGUCCUAGCCGUAAACGAUACUCGCUAGGUGUCGGCCACGGUGCGACCGUUGUCGGUGCCGUAGGGAAGCCGUGAAGCGAGCCACCUGGGAGUACGUCCGCAAGGAUGAAACUUAAAGGAAUUGGCGGGGGAGCACCGCAACGGGAGGAGCGUGCGGUUCAAUUGGAUUCAACGCCGGACAACUCACCAGGAGCGACGGUUACAUGAAGGCCAGGCUGAUGACCUUGCCUGAUUUUCCG
Molecule: ribosomal RNA, 264 nt
Filed under: uncultured archaeon
Lineage: Archaea
Description: partial 16S ribosomal RNA
Rfam family: Archaeal small subunit ribosomal RNA
Source: RNAcentral